RNAcentral lists this long non-coding RNA (885 nucleotides) under Anser cygnoides (Swan goose). Its description in RNAcentral is "lncRNA (ENSACDG00005009337.1)". Lineage: Eukaryota; Metazoa; Chordata; Aves; Anseriformes; Anatidae. The record is from RNAcentral.
AGGCAGAUACUGAACUAAUGUGGUGCAACUCUGAAUCACUUUCAUAUAGAUUGUAGUUAAAGGUUAUCAGAGCUGUACCUAAAACAUCAAAAUAAUUUGGGACCAAUACCCAAUGAGCUGGGUAACUUGCUGUUUGCCUAUCAAAGGGAUAACUUUGAAUUUGUUAGAGAUCUUUCUGCCACAAGGGAUUUAUCUGAGAUGCUCACUCCCAAGCUAAGCGCUAAGCCCUCGGAAGGCAUUGUCUGAAUUCCCUGAGUUUCCUGCUUCCUGUUACUAUGGAAACGAUAGAUGAUUUAAUUUUCCAUGCUGUGAGGUGGAUGUGUUUGGGAUGGCACCUUACAAUAGCACAUGGGGCACUCUAGGAAAAGAGAAAACAAUGUUUCCUGGCACUUUUGUGGGGAGAAGUGGAGUUAAAUAACUUCAUAGAUGUCAGCAUUCAGAUACUACCUGUGUUCAUUAUGAGAGAAGGAACGACAAAGGGAUGGCCUUAUAAUGAUCGUCAUAAAUCUUUGAAGUUGUUGAAAGCCAGAAGGAUUUCUCCCUUCAUCAAGCUGCAGACUGUAAUGAAUGCUAUUAAGGACCUGCACUGUUCAUCUUGCAGGUAUUUAUGCCUAUUAACUGCUAGAUAAGCAUACAUUGGUCUUCUCAUCAGUAUACAGACAUGUCAUUGGGUUUACCUUUGUUGAUCUGAAGUCCCACGACUGCUGUUGCUUGCUUGAUGCCACAUUUUCUACAUCUCUUACAGCAUUUGAGGCAGAUCAUUUCCAUUUGCCAUAUUCCAAGGAUUACUGUCCCUGAGGCUUAUGACUUUUCUACAACCACAUUCAGCAGAAUGGAGUUUUAAGUGCAUAUCUCUAGUUAAAUCUAACUCAGCUUGGAUUUCAC